AACGAACGCUGGCGGCAUGCCUAACACAUGCAAGUCGAACGAGACCUUCGGGUCUAGUUGCGCACGGGUGCGUAACGCGUGGGGACCUGCCCUUAGGUUCGGAAUAACUCCCUGAAAGGGGUGCUAAUACCGGUUAAUGUCUUCGGACCAACGAUCUAUGGCCUUUGGAUGGGCCCGGGUUGGAUUAGCCAGUUGGUAGGGUAAAAGCCUACCAACGCGACGAUCCAUAGCUGGUCUGAGAGGAUGAUCAGCCACACUGGGACUGAGACCCGGCCCAGACUCCUACGGGAGGCAGCAGUGGGGAAUAUUGGACAAUGGGCGAAAGCCUGAUCCAGCAAUGCCGCGUGAGUGAUGAAGGCCUUAGGGUUGUAAAGCUCUUUUACCCGGGAUGAUAAUGACAGUACCGGGAGAAUAAGCUCCGGCUAACUCCGUG
Molecule: ribosomal RNA, 433 nt
Filed under: uncultured bacterium
Lineage: Bacteria
Description: partial 16S ribosomal RNA
Rfam family: Bacterial small subunit ribosomal RNA
Source: RNAcentral